AGACUGACAAAAUAUUUCCGGACAUAUCCCAUUCAACCACCGCAAAGAUUCAUAAAUCGAUUUGGGUUUUUCCACAUUCGUCACAUAGUCUGAGUAAACUAGUAACAACUAUAGGGUGUGCCACUCUGCCAUAGUCAAACAGAUUGUUGAGUGAAUUUCUUCUUGCAACGUUCAACCUUUUGAUUUGACGCUGUGUUUCAAGCAACUGUCUUAUAGUUUCUUCGACCUAACGUGAAACUCAAGCUCUUUCACUAAUCAAAGAUGGCUGAGCGAGUAACAGCAAAGUCAGUCUUAAGAAAGAUCAGUCAGAGACAUCUUGAAUGUCAAAUUUGCAUAGACCGCUUCGUGGAGCCCAAGAUGCUGGAGUGUUCUCAUUCAUAUUGCCUGAAAUGCCUUCAACAACUUGCACAGACUAACCCAACUAGUCAAACACUGAUAUGCCCAGUGUGUCGUAGUGAAACAUUACUGGUUGAAAAAGGAGUUUUUGAGUUACGUAAUGAUUUCAAAUCGACUCUUAUGUUAGAUGAAAUAGAACAGCAUGAAACAGAGCUACGCAACCAACAAGAAAAUCAGCCACCUAAUCAGGAGUAUGUUUCUAAAUGUAGCAAGCAUACUGACAAGGAUGUUAUCAUGUACUGUGACUCAUGCAAACAGUUGAUAUGUACAACUUGCAUUGCAAAGGACCACAGCAUGCAUCCUGCUACUGAACUAAGUGUGGUUUUUGACAACUGCAUGAAGAAAACCAAUGAAAUAUUUGCAGAAGUAGGACAACAUUACAUAAGUUUUAAGAUUGCCAUGCAAGACAUAGAAUUGUUUCACAAGACGUUGGAUUCUAUGUUUGCUGCAACCAAAGCAAAGAUCUCCAAGAAGGCAGAUGAUGAGAUUGCCAAGGAGGUUGCAAGGAUCAGAGAGGAAGAGAACAAACUCAUGUUGGAGUUAGUCCAGACGUUUAAAGACAAAUCCACAAAAGGAGAAACUGCAAAAGCCACAAAUGACAAAGAAAUGACAAAAGCACAGAAUAUGAAAGUUGUAGUUACGCAACUCAUGGACAAAGCGAACUUUUCUGAGAAUCUACUUCUCAUAGAGAAUAUGUUACAAGACCUCAAAGAAUACACAAAGACACAACCUAAACAAGUGGCUCAGGAACAGGCUUACAUUGACUUCGAAGAUGAUCAGGAAUCAUUCGGGAGACUGAGAAUCAACGCAAAGCAGAAGCCAGAAGGAGCAGCUUCUGCUGAAGCUAGAAUGCCUAUAUGCAAACCCAAGACACAACUGACACAAAAACUAUGGACUCUAAAAGCAGAAAUAAUAACAUACAGGCCUAAGAGCAGUAAAAAACAACAAACCUUCUGUGCAUUAAGUGUUGCUUCCUACUGCAAUAGCGACAUUGUCUGUGACAUCAAGAGCAACACCUUGAUUACAAUAUCAGCAGACAGCAUUGGCAAAUCAAAGGUCAUCUCAAAAGAGCUGUCUAUUAAAGGCCUCACUGAUCCAAUCAGAGUGGCUGUGAACAAGAAUGAUAAGCUCAUCGUUGUAGAUGACACUGCAGUUAAGAUCUUCAAUAGAAAAUAUAAGCGUCUCCAUCAGUUCGCGCUGUUAGUUGGACAGCCAUUCGACCUACCACCAUCUAUAGCUGUGGAUGACAACAAUCUGAUAGCAGUGGGGUAUCACCAGAUACAGAUCGAUCUACACAGACAAGAUGGAUCUUUCUUUAGAACACUACUUGCUCCAGGGAUUGGUCAAUACUUGAGUAUCCACAAACAGCAUCUUAUCUACAUCAAGACACGUGCCAAGAAGAAGUUAGUAUCAAUAGACUACGAUGGUAACGUUGUAUUCUCGGUAGAUAUCAAUCAGUCUUGGUGGUAUCGUGGGUUGUGCUGUGACAAGGAUGGCAGCAUCUAUGUUGCUGUAUGGGAUGGCGAAUCAUCAUCAGGUGACAUCCAUCAUUACAGUCCUGAUGGCGAAUACAUUGGAUGCAUUAUUAAAGGCUGCACUUAUCCACAUGGUAUAACAUUCACACCAGCUGGUGAUCUGGUUGUGGCUACACAAGAAUCAGUUCAAAUCUACUGUCAUGACUAAAGACAGCAAUGAUCACUGAAUGGCUCACACAAAAUGGCACAACUUUGGAGAUGGGGGUGGUUCUUAAAAGACAGUUGAUAAACUCAUUGCCAUUAUCGUGAGUUACUAAGAGGACUGGAUCUAAAAAGGUCACAACUGAAAGUUCAACCUUUGCCAGAACCCUGUGGUUUCUCUAGCUGUGAAUCAUUUAUAGGUGUCUUUACGAAAGUCACCUUUGGACAUCCAGACAAACUGAAGGAACAGCAAGCGAAGCAGCAGGGAUUGGUGGACCUGGGAGUGCUGGACCUUAACCCUGACCCUUCAGAGGUCCCUCAAUGGGUUGAGGAUGGUGCUCAACGUUGACGGGAGAGACCACGUAGACCCUUACAGCAUGCUGCCUCAGAUAUCACAAAAUGUCGCAUACAGACGCAUGGGACUGAUGUCACACUUUGAGGCUCAUGAAUUACGCCAGAGAGUGGCCUCUUAUAUAGGUCAAUCCCGCCCAUCUUCACAUUCCACCCACAUUCAUAUGCAUACGACCGCAAGUGCAGCUGCCAAACGUCACCUCGGACCAAUCAAAACAGAAUACUACGUCACUGCAUGUUUGUCCAAUGAAAUUAGUGUAUCCAAUGAAAUCGCUGGUUUUAAAAAGCAAGUACUUGUGGUAAUCCUUGAGCAGAGGACCAGUCUACCUGCAAGCCGCCUGGUGCUGUCUGAACCGACUCAUGGGUUCGCUCGUCCCCAACGCCUUGCCAUAACCAAAGUGACGUUGUGUUCAGGAAUUUCGGCAAGAGUGUGCUACUUCGGUCAAGAGCCGGACCCGGGGCAACGGAACAAACUUCGUUGGGUUAUGCCAAUGAAACGUGAAGAUUGCUGCUUGUGUACAUCCAUCAAACCAGGGGGAGUCAACACAAACGCAGUCACGAGGCCAUAUGAACCGUACGUGACAGAUAGUCCACUCUUUACGGGCAACAAACAAGAGAUUCGUGACUACUUUCAUUGUUCGACAGGCGAGAGAUCUGUUGAGCCCUCAUACCACUACGAGGACGACAUACCAAGCUUUGGACCAGCUAAAUAGCAACCACUAUUAAAUCAUUGGUUGUUUCGUGCAUCUUAAUGAGAAUUUGUAACUUUCUCUCAAAUCUGGAAAAGUCUAAAGACAGAGUGAAUUCACAUUUUAGUUUUGUUUGUGUUAUCCUCGACAAUUCCUCAGACUCCACUGUAUUUUAUAAUUCUUGCCUGUAUUUUACUUGUUGUAGUUGAAAGAAUUAUGUGGAGAUUGUCUAAGACCUUAUGUACAUGACGUCAUUUCGGUAGGGCGCCCUCACCUAUAGGACACGGAGGUUGAUCAUUGGCUAAUAGUAAUACUGUGCGCCGCGCGUACAAAUCUGUGCGUCUCGAUUGUUACGUCACCGUUUUUCCUCUAAGAUGGCGGCUGGACGACGUCAAUGCAUAAGGUCUAUAAAUAAAUAAAUAUAAUAAAAAUAAGAAUAUCUUGAAACUGUGUGGUUUAGGUCUGCUACUUUGGUGGACUCAUUUUUACUCCAAAAUAGCGGACCGUAUGUUCUGCUUGUUGUAAUGUAAGAAGCAAUCUUAAAGGAACACGUUGCCUUGAAUCGGUCGAGUUGGUCUAUGAAAAGCGUUUGUAACCGUUUGUUAUAA
This is an RNA transcript of Asterias rubens (European starfish), 3720 nucleotides long. RefSeq lists it as uncharacterized. The transcript is spliced from 5 exons. The record is from RefSeq and is a predicted model, not a curated record. NCBI's taxonomy places the organism in Eukaryota, Metazoa, Echinodermata, Asteroidea, Forcipulatida, Asteriidae.